Molecule: transfer RNA, 68 nt
Filed under: Marmota monax (woodchuck)
Lineage: Eukaryota; Metazoa; Chordata; Mammalia; Rodentia; Sciuridae
Description: tRNA.Ala
Source: RNAcentral
GUUAUAGCUCAGUGGUUGAGCGCUUGCCUUGCACAUGUGAGGUACUGGGUUCAAUCCUCAGCACAACA